RNAcentral lists this ribosomal RNA (352 nucleotides) under uncultured bacterium. RNAcentral describes it as "bacterial SSU rRNA". It matches the Rfam family "Bacterial small subunit ribosomal RNA", at positions 8 to 353 of the family's 1533-position model. The record is from RNAcentral.
AGAGUUUGAUCCUGGCUCAGGAUGAACGCUAGCGACAGGCCUAACACAUGCAAGUCGAGGGGCAGCGAAGAGGUAGCAAUACCUUUGUCGGCGACCGGCGCACGGGUGAGUAACACGUAUCCAACCUGCCGUCUACUCUUAGACAGCCUUCUGAAAGGAAGAUUAAUACAAGAUGGCAUCAUGAGUUCACAUGUUCACAUGAUUAAAGGUUUUCCGGUAGACGAUGGGGAUGCGUUCCAUUAGAUAGUAGGCGGGGUAACGGCCCACCUAGUCUUCGAUGGAUAGGGGUUCUGAGAGGAAGGUCCCCCACAUUGGAACUGAGACACGGUCCAAACUCCUACGGGAGGCAGCA